Molecule: ribosomal RNA, 269 nt
Filed under: Klebsiella quasipneumoniae subsp. similipneumoniae
Lineage: Bacteria; Pseudomonadati; Pseudomonadota; Gammaproteobacteria; Enterobacterales; Enterobacteriaceae
Description: partial 23S ribosomal RNA
Rfam family: Bacterial large subunit ribosomal RNA
Source: RNAcentral
UGAAGAUGCAGUGUACCCGCGGCAAGACGGAAAGACCCCGUGAACCUUUACUAUAGCUUGACACUGAACAUUGAGCCUUGAUGUGUAGGAUAGGUGGGAGGCUUUGAAGCGUGGACGCCAGUCUGCGUGGAGCCGACCUUGAAAUACCACCCUUUAAUGUUUGAUGUUCUAACGUUGGCCCCUUACCGGGGUUGCGGACAGUGUCUGGUGGGUAGUUUGACUGGGGCGGUCUCCUCCCAAAGCGUAACGGAGGAGCACGAAGGUUAGCU